AGUCAAGUCAGCAUGGCCUUUAUAUCCUGGGCUACACACACGCUACAAUGGCCAACACAAUAGGUUACUAAGCCGCGAGGUGGCGCCAAUCCAUAAAGUUGGUCUCAGUUCAGAUUGUAGGCUGCAACCCGCCUGCAUGAAGAUGGAGUUGCUAGUAACCGCAGGUCAGCUAUACUGCGGUGAAUACGUUCCCGGGGCUU
RNAcentral lists this ribosomal RNA (200 nucleotides) under uncultured Leptolinea sp. Its description in RNAcentral is "partial 16S ribosomal RNA". It matches the Rfam family "Bacterial small subunit ribosomal RNA", at positions 1183 to 1382 of the family's 1533-position model. The record is from RNAcentral. Lineage: Bacteria; Bacillati; Chloroflexota; Anaerolineae; Anaerolineales; Anaerolineaceae.